Molecule: long non-coding RNA, 313 nt
Filed under: Rosa chinensis
Lineage: Eukaryota; Viridiplantae; Streptophyta; Magnoliopsida; Rosales; Rosaceae
Description: sRNA RchiOBHm_Chr1g0381401
Source: RNAcentral
GAGGAGAUCACGAAAAUGGGAAGGAUCGGCCGAGGGGAUGCCGGAAAAUGGGUUUUCCGGUCGGGUCACCGACGGAACUGUGGCUCCUUCGAUCCAGCUUUCGGAGCAGCGGCGGAGCAAGACGACACCGGAGGGAGGCUCUACGGAGUACGGCGAGUCCGGUGAGGUCCGGGUCGUGGCCGGAGAAGCAGCGACGGCGACGCUGGGGCCGGGUCGGGUCGACGGGUCUGCAGGCAUGGGGAGGGUUUCGAGCGAGAGAGAGAGAGAACCGGAGGGGGACUAUUCAGCAAAAUUUGAUCUUCUUCGUCCUUAA